RNAcentral lists this long non-coding RNA (1601 nucleotides) under Daphnia magna. RNAcentral's name for it is "uncharacterized LOC123477094". Lineage: Eukaryota; Metazoa; Arthropoda; Branchiopoda; Diplostraca; Daphniidae. The record is from RNAcentral.
CGUAGCGCAGCCGGUGGAUCGAGUCGAUGGCCAGCACCAUUUCGGCCAGGUAGAAUUUGGCCAUGUCCUCGGGCAAACGAUCCUCGAAUUUGGACAGGAGCGUCAACAAGUCACCACCGCAGUAAUAAUCCAUCACCAGUUUCUGCUGUUUGCUUUCCGGCUGGAACAGAAAGGUCUUCAAACUUUGGAGGCAGUACAUCCUCCUAUGCCGUUUGUAGUAAAACUGUUUACUAGUUGUAUGUGCGUGUACCGUUUUUCUCGUCAUCCGAAACCCCGCACCAAAAGAAUUUCUCUGCCAUUUCUUUACCCCCCAUUUUUUUUUUUCCUGUGACGACAACCGCAAACGAACACAAGCAACCAGCAGGAAGUGGCCGACCGACAAUUCAAGCGUUACGACAAGAAAAUUCAAAUUAUCUCAUCAAACGCGGCCAGCCCAGACAACCACCACCUCCCCUUCUCAUUACAAGGAGGUGUGUGUAUCUGUGUGCGUGUGUGCUAUUCGAUCUCUGCGCACAUCGAAUCGACACCUCCCAACAGAAAUUCGAAACACACAAAAGAAAGAAAGAAAGAAAACGUUCUUUGGCCAUUUUCGCUUUUUUCUCUUCUUCUGGGAUAAAGACGUCACUAUGGAAAGGGAAAGUUUUGGGAAGGAGAUCUGAAAUGAUCGAGCCGGUCUUCGUCUGAAGGAAAUACCUGGGCAGGAUGCCAGGCCAAAAGAAAAAGAUAUUCUUAUUAUAAGGACAAGGACACGAGAGAAAAAAAAAAGAAAAACGGGAAAAAGGAGGGGGGGGCAACAACAAAAAAAAAUGCGAUAUUAUCAAAAGGCCUUAGUUAUACCAGAUUGUUUUCGUCCUGGAAGGCGUAGUGAAGGUCAGUGAUCCACCGUCGAUCCCCGCGGACAAGGACAUCGCGCUCUUCGUGGAAACAGGCGGCUUCGGCCCGUUUCAACAUCACCCACUUGUUGAGGAUCUUCAUGGCGUAGACGCGCUCCGUGUGCCGCAACUUGACGACGCACACCUCACCAAACGCUCCCCGGCCAAUCACUUUGAUGAGCUCAAAGUCAUCGCGUGUCAGUCGAAGGCUCUUGAUCUGACUCACGCUCGGUUUCACUGCGACAAACGACAAGAAGAAUACGGAAUAAAUGAAAACAGUCGAUUUUAUCCCCCCCACCCACCCACCCACUAAAUGCAACAACAAUAACUUAGACUUUAUCAAAAAGAGGGGGUAUGGAAAGGAGGAAGUGUUUUGCAUAUGUUCGUCGGGGUAUUUCCGAAGGAAAUAAAAUUCGUGUAGCGAAAGACAGGGGCGGAUAAAGCCGGUGAUGACUUCCGCAGCCCUUUGCUUGUCGUCUCUGUUGUUCGUACACGAACAACAAACAACAACAACAAUGUGUAGGCAUAAUGGAGUAUAUUACCACCCAGCUAUCACGGUCCAACUACUAUUUCCGACGCCGUUAAGUCAAAAAUAACACGUACACCACCAUCACCCACAGCAUCUACCCCCUUUGUUUAUCCCUCCUCCACCUCCUCUUCCCCUCCUCUUGUUUCUUUUUUUAAACACAAUUCGUUACCCGUGGCAAAUAAAAAAUUGUCGGCUCCAAA